UGCCAGCCGCCGCGGUAAUACGGAGGGGGCUAGCGUUGUUCGGAAUUACUGGGCGUAAAGCGCACGUAGGCGGUCUGUCUAGUUAGAGGUGAAAGGCCCGGGCUCAACCUGGGAACUGCCUUUAAUACUGGCAGGCUAGAGUCCGGGAGAGGGUAGCGGAAUUCCAAGUGUAGAGGUGAAAUUCGUAGAUAUUUGGAAGAACACCGGUGGCGAAGGCGGCUACCUGGACCGGCACUGACGCUGAGGUGCGAAAGCGUGGGGAGCGAACAGGAUUAGAUA
Molecule: ribosomal RNA, 279 nt
Filed under: uncultured bacterium
Lineage: Bacteria
Description: partial 16S ribosomal RNA
Rfam family: Bacterial small subunit ribosomal RNA
Source: RNAcentral